Bombus terrestris (buff-tailed bumblebee) is the source of this 3084-nucleotide RNA transcript. It is a transcript of the gene named protoheme IX farnesyltransferase, mitochondrial, with no coding region annotated. The record is from RefSeq and is a predicted model, not a curated record. The transcript has 9 exons. NCBI's taxonomy places the organism in Eukaryota, Metazoa, Arthropoda, Insecta, Hymenoptera, Apidae.
UGCGUUUAGGAUUUCAUUUCAUAGUCUCUUUCAUUCGGUUCAACUAGACCGAGCAUAGUCCGAGCUCUCGUUUAGUGUAAUGAGUUUCUAUUCGAUUACUUAAGCAAGCGUAGACUGUAAUAGUCUAGUAAAAUUAUUUAAAGUUUCAGCGCAAUGUGUUUUUGUUCAAAGCUUUCUUACGUAACACGAACUAAAAGUUGUAAAAACAAAAAUAUAUCAUGAUGAUAGAAAAAAGGAAACAUUGACGAUUUUAUACGACGUAUUUUUAUCAUGUUAUUUAUUUUUUGCUCAAUCAGGAUCUCCCGUAACGUAUGCCUAUCAUCGUUGAAACUGUCUAUCGCUACAUAUUCUACCGAGGCUACAUCAAGCGUAAAGAAAUUAUCCCGUACACAGAAAUACCGAUGUUUAUUAGACACAAAAAAUGUCAAAAAUCAGAAGAUAUCACCUAACUUUGUUACAUCGUUUGAUCACCAAAAGCCUACUCAAUGUGUAGAUAUAACGAACAAUGAAAAGCAAAAGAAUUUAUACAUGCAAAAUGAACAAGAAUGGCAGUGUAUAAAAUUAGAUUCUGGCAAACUUCGAAAACAUUGCUUCAUGUUAUCUAAGAUACGGUUAACAUCUUUGGUAGUUGUAACAACCAUGGCUGGAUAUGCAUUAGCACCAGGGCCUUUCGAUGCUUUUACAUUUGUUGCAUGUUCUAUGGGUACUGGAUUAGUGUCUGCAACAGCAAAUGCUAUCAAUCAAUUUUUUGAAGUUCCUUUUGAUGCGCAGAUGUCAAGAACAAAGAACAGAGUGUUGGUUAGAGGUUACUUAACACCUGGCCAUGCAGUAAUGUUUGCAACGGUAUCUGGCUUCAGUGGAUUAUUAUUAUUAUAUACCGAAGUUAAUGGAUUAACAGCUACUUUGGGAGCAGCUAAUCUGCUUCUGUACACUCUUAUUUAUACUCCUAUGAAACGCAUUAGUAUUUUAAAUACUUGGGUGGGUUCCAUAGUCGGAGCCAUACCACCAUUAAUGGGUUGGGCAUCUUGUGUCGGCAAUAUAAUAUCUCCAGGUGCUUGGAUAAUGUCUGGUCUAUUAUAUGCAUGGCAGUUUCCUCAUUUCAAUGCUUUAUCAUGGAAUUUGAGACCAGAUUAUUCACGUGCCGGUUAUAGAAUGAUGGCAGUCACGAAUCCAAAACUUUGUCGUAAAACAGCAUUACGUUAUACCGCUGCAUUAAUGGGUCUUUGUUAUUUAGCACCAGUUUGUGAUGUAACAAAUUGUUGGUUUGCCUUGUUAUCGACACCACUUAAUGCAUAUUUUCUUUACCUUGCUUGGGAAUUUCACAAGCACUCUGAUAGUAGAAGUUCACGCAAACUGUUUCGUUUUUCAUUGAUUCAUUUACCUGUUCUUAUAGUUCUUAUGCUUAUAAAUAAGAAACAGUGGUAUAAUGAUGACAAUAGACAGAGAGAUAUGGUACUUUCAGAAGAAAAAAGCGAUAUGUACGCAGUAUUAAUGAAAACGAUUGCAUCGGCAUUUUCGAGCACUUAAUAAACUACCUUGAAAUUUACGUCAUGAUACUGUAGGAAUCAUAAUAAGCUUUUUAGUUAAAUUUCUGUGUCCGGCACAAUCCAGAUUUUCCGUGAAACAUUUGUUUCUACAGCACUGUCGGCAUAAUUUAUGAACACAUUUGAGACUCUACGGGAGAAAACGUAACGGCGAGAUUAAUAAAUUUCAUUCGGAUUGAUAACAAAAGAUUAUGUUUAAAAUAAAGUUUUGCAAACCACUGGAUUUGGACAAUCGCAACACAAAUCAGAUCCUCUUUUCACGAUGAUAGCUGGUCUGUUGGGGCGACGCGCUAUUCGUUUGAGCUUCUUCAGCCGUUUUCGUGAUAUCUCAUUUCCUUCUUCAUCUCUGAAUUUUCUCUUGAUCGUUUCAUUUUGCUACAAAAAUUGAAUAUCGAAAUAAAAAAACAAUUAUAUCAUAUGAUAAGGGAAAGAAAGAAAAGAAUAGGGAUAGGGAUACAGAUAGAAAUAGAAAUAGAAGUAGGGAUAGGAAAAAGGAAAAGGAAAUUGCAGUAGAAUAGUGGAAACCAACCGUUUCGAUCCUUUCAAUUUCUAGCUUUUGUAUAUUCUCCUCUGGAAGAUGACGUAUAUAUGGUUGGCACAACCAGGGAGGUAGUUUUAAGUUAUGAUCUGAAAUAUAGAAUGCAAGUAAGUAACAACAGUCAUACUUUGGCGGUAUAUAACGAUAGUGUAAUUAAAAAUACAAAGAGAAAAUGUAUACACAGCCAGAAGGAAAGUGGAUAUAUGUAUGUCAUGCGAAUGAAGAAUAAAGUAUAUAAUGGAAUAUAAUAUAAUCGAAUAUAUGGUAGAGCCUACGAACCGGACAUUUCUUCCUGCCAGAUUAAACGACCUUCGUGAUAAGGCAGAUACCGAUCCCUCAAAGCGUAUACGACGUUUCUGAAGGAUUCCAUGUGUACAUAGAGAUCGAAAAUAAACGGAAGCUACAAAUAAUUGAUUUUUCAUACGUACGUGUGUUGGAACAAUUUAAAAAGAUGACCACGAAUGUAAGAAGGAGGGGCUGGAUAACGUUCCACCAAAUCCAAAUAUUCAAGCGCUGGCUCCCAACUAGGUGGAUAACGAGCUUCGAAUAUGUACGGAUUGUAAAGGUUGCCCUCUGCUGACAUUACACCGUGAACACCGGUUUCCUCUAUACAUCUUUCGAUAUCUUGCAGACACUGUAUGUUACCAUUCGCAAACACUGGAAUUGUGACGGCCUGUCUGAACGUUUGAAAUAAUAAGAAAUAGCAACUGACUGGAAGAUACACGCCAAAUGAAGAUACGAAGAGUAAUUGUUAAUCAUACCUGACGGCUUUGAUGUGAUCCCAAGAUGCGAUACCGGUUAAUGGACCUUUUUGUUCCCGAGUUCGUCCGUGCACGGUAAGUAAUCGUGCCCCAGCGGUCUCGAGCAUUUGCGCGUACUUAACAGUUUUAUCGAUCUCCGCAAAUACACGAAGCUUACAAGUAACUGGCACACGGAGACUUUUGCUCAAAGUACUUACUGUAAUAUUUCGUAAGAGGAAAAUAAAUUGGAGAUGUAACGUUA